CGGGCAUGACGUAAAACAACGAAUCAAAGAAUUCAACUUUAUUUAUAAGUUAUAACUAUAAAUACAGGGCAAUGCUGUCAAUUAAAAAAGUUGUAUAUCAAAAAAUUAUGCAGGACAGUAAUUGUAUGUACCUGUGAUACAUAAAUUUCUUAGUUCAAACAAAAGUUUGAAAUGUUUCAAGAACAAAAGCAAAAAGCAGCACCAAUCAGUUUAUCAUAGAAUCUAUUUGCAUUUGUAUCCUUUUGUGCAGAUGUAAAUUAAAUCUGUAUAGUUGACCAGAGUGUUGACAAGUUAAUUGUCUAAUGUCAAAGCAUAAUAGAAAUUAUUUGGUUAGUCAGUUUAUUAGAUUGUAGAUUUGUUUCAGAAUGUAUGCAAGC
This 377-nucleotide long non-coding RNA is filed under the name Mytilus galloprovincialis (Mediterranean mussel). The record is from RNAcentral. Lineage: Eukaryota; Metazoa; Mollusca; Bivalvia; Mytilida; Mytilidae.